Molecule: long non-coding RNA, 303 nt
Filed under: Linum usitatissimum (flax)
Lineage: Eukaryota; Viridiplantae; Streptophyta; Magnoliopsida; Malpighiales; Linaceae
Description: long non-coding RNA (LUSI_LNC006546)
Source: RNAcentral
GUAGAAGCAUGUUAAUCAAGAAAAUCAAUUUAGUACGUUUGGGUUGAAAAUGGGUAUUGUACUAUUCGUCGCCCCACAUGUAUAUAUACGACAUUGUUUUAUGUAACGAAGAGGUUAGUUUUUUUUUCUUGUUUUUAUAUAUUUAUUUUUUUCAUUCUUCCAUAUUUUUCUUUCUCUUUCACUCCAACUUUUCUCAAUCGUCAUUGACAUGUUUCUCUUGUCUAAUUAUCUAGACGUCAUCAAACCUUUCUUGGCACCAAUCCCUUAAAUCUCUUCAAUAAAGUAAUAUCCGUCCAAACAGGG